GCGUUCUGUGGACCUUCGGAUCCGUCCUCAAAUGCAGACUUUUCGUUCCUAGUGCGAAGGGAUGUUUUGGAUGAUACACCGGAGCGGCUAUGCUAGCGCAUGAGUGGUAUUGGCCUGUGACAGCUUGGAUGACUCCCGCCGUUGUGCGGCCGACUCUCGGUGCCUGUGCCCCUUCAAGUUUGGCUAUAAUGACCGACCCUUUCACGAGUGCUUGCAUGCUGCUACCAGUCUCACUGGAAGUUGCAUUGCUAAAUGUUGCCCUUGUCGUGUGCGCCCUUAGGGUGUGGCACGUCAGCUAAAAAGCGCUCAUGUCAUUGCCUCAUGGAGUCGGCCUAGGCUUGCUUCAUCAUGGCUACCUCAUGUUUGCUCUUGGUCUUGGUUGCGGCUAACGUGAAAGACCGAGGUGCUUUGGUGCCCCGCCCCUAUCAAUGUUAGUCCAAGUGGAAACGACAGUUGGCUCGGUUAUCGCCUCUGUGGUAGC
RNAcentral lists this unclassified non-coding RNA (481 nucleotides) under Altoparadisium chapadense. RNAcentral describes it as "partial external transcribed spacer". The record is from RNAcentral. Lineage: Eukaryota; Viridiplantae; Streptophyta; Magnoliopsida; Poales; Poaceae.